This 409-nucleotide ribosomal RNA is filed under the name uncultured bacterium. Its description in RNAcentral is "bacterial SSU rRNA". It matches the Rfam family "Bacterial small subunit ribosomal RNA", at positions 29 to 426 of the family's 1533-position model. The record is from RNAcentral.
AACGAACGUUAGCGGCGCGCCUAACACAUGCAAGUCGAGCGAGAAAGGGCUUCGGCCCCGGUAAAGCGGCGCACGGGUGAGUAACACGUGGAUAACCUACCCCUUGGUGGUGGAUAACCUUCCGAAAGGAGGGCUAAUACAGCGUAAGACCACGACUUCGAAAGAGGUUGGGGUAAAAGUGGGCCUCUGUACACAAGCUCACGCCAGGGGAUGGGUCCGCGGCCCAUCAGCUAGUUGGUAGGGUAACGGCCUACCAAGGCGAAGACGGGUAGCUGGUCUGAGAGGAUGAUCAGCCACACUGGAACUGAGACACGGUCCAGACUCCUACGGGAGGCAGCAGUGGGAAUCUUGCGCAAUGGACGAAAGUCUGACGCAGCGACGCCGCGUGAGUGAUGAAGGCCUCGGUUGU